This is a long non-coding RNA of Cucumis sativus (cucumber), 766 nucleotides long. RefSeq lists it as uncharacterized. The transcript has 3 exons. The record is from RefSeq and is a predicted model, not a curated record. NCBI's taxonomy places the organism in Eukaryota, Viridiplantae, Streptophyta, Magnoliopsida, Cucurbitales, Cucurbitaceae.
CCCCCCCCCAUUUUUUUCCAUUUCCCUUCUCCUUGCCUUAACUGCCGACCACCACUGCUUCCCUUCUUCUCUUCUUCUCCGUCUGCAAUUCCCGACCUCACGCCGCCGCCUAGCCGUCUGCCUUCCCGACCUCACGUCGCCGCCUAUCCGUCUGCCUCUCCGAUCUCACGAUUUUUGCCUAGUUCGUCUACCGGCUGGGGAGUAUCUGCUGCGUCUCCGUCCGCCAACCACCAGCGCCGCCAGCUCUUCGUCCGCUAACCGUGAAGCAACGGUUGUUGGGUGCCUGUCGUGAACCAAACCGAGGACCUCAGAUCCAACUUUUCGCUCGCGCUUCUCAACAUUCGACCAAGUCGUCUACACCGGUCUGCUCCCUGAAGGUAGCCACUCGUGAACUACGCGUUGAGUUUCUUCCUCAUACUGCCGCAGGUAGUAAACCCACGCCAUUCGAUUGGGCUGUCUGCCUUGCCACGAGUCAUCAAAUUUUGGUUGGAUUGUUUCGUGGACGUUAGUUGAUUAAGGAGCUUCCCUAACUUUGAGGCAAAGGUAACAAGGGUGGCAGACCGACGAGGGGCAGGAAGGAAGAAUGUUUCUAUUUUACUUUCGCUUAUUGUUUGUUUUUUUUUUUUCGUGUUUUGUUUUUAGUACUUGAAACUGUUUAGAAACAUUUUAUAGUUUAACUGCAUACAUGAAAUGAUGGUUUGUAAAUCCUUCUUGAAAGUUUUGGAUAUUUUAAACCGGGCCCAGAUAUAAAUUUUACUUUUUGAAA